GAUGAACGCUGGCGGCGUGCUUAACACAUGCAAGUCGAACGGAAAGGCCCAAGCUUGCUUGGGUACUCGAGUGGCGAACGGGUGAGUAACACGUGGGUGAUCUGCCCUGCACUUCGGGAUAAGCCUGGGAAACUGGGUCUAAUACCGGAUAGGACGAUGGUUUGGAUGCCAUUGUGGAAAGUUUUUUCGGUGUGGGAUGAGCUCGCGGCCUAUCAGCUUGUUGGUGGGGUAAUGGCCUACCAAGGCGUCGACGGGUAGCCGGCCUGAGAGGGUGUACGGCCACAUUGGGACUGAGAGACGGGCCAGAGUCCUACGGGAGGCAGCAGUGGGGAAUAUUGCACAAUGGGCGCAAGCCUGAUGCAGCGACGCCGCGUGGGGGAUGACGGCCUUCGGGUUGUAAACACCUUUCGCUAGGGACGAAGCGUUUUUGUGACGGUACCUGGAGAAGAAGCACCGGCUAACUACGUG
This 468-nucleotide ribosomal RNA is filed under the name uncultured bacterium. RNAcentral's name for it is "partial 16S ribosomal RNA". It matches the Rfam family "Bacterial small subunit ribosomal RNA", at positions 28 to 507 of the family's 1533-position model. The record is from RNAcentral.